RNAcentral lists this long non-coding RNA (825 nucleotides) under Homo sapiens (human). RNAcentral describes it as "HSALNT0296863". Lineage: Eukaryota; Metazoa; Chordata; Mammalia; Primates; Hominidae. The record is from RNAcentral.
AUUCUCUCCCUGCAUCGCUCUGUAUGCAGUAGGUAUGCGGGAAUGUAGUUAUGGCAAUGACAUGCCCUUCUGACCAUUUCCCACAUCCCUUUCUGAGUCAGGUAGAAAUAUUUGAGGGCCAGUGGGACUGACAAUAGCUGUUCUAGGAGGUCAGAAAGGAAGCGGAAAAGCAAGGCUGGCUUGGUUUCUGGAGGAAGAGAAGCCGGUCCUGAGAGCCCUCCAGCCUCCCGGCACUACUAGGGAAACUGUCCAGUUGAGUUACUUAGAAUUGCAUCUCUACUGGGCCCUGCUGUUAAUCUCCAGCCCAGCCCCCAUCAGAACCCAGAUCGAUAGCUGAGAAUGGAGCUGUCUGUCUUUCUGACCCCCCUGAUUGUUUUGUUAUUGCUGGUGGGCUGAUUUCCAGUUAUGUAACCUCCUCUCUGUUAGAUGAAAUCUCAUUAUUUUACUGUGCUGUGCACAUCAGGUCUGUUUCACGUUGAGCUACCUGAGAGGAGCUGGGAACGUGCUGUUUCUCAUCAUUAUCACCCAGCAAGAGAACUGGAGAGAGAGCUACACCCAAACCAAUUAUGGUCAGGCCCUCUGGGCUGUUAUAUAAUUUUCCAGGAGACAGUGGAGUGAAGCAGACCUCAGCGUCCCAGAGGUGUGCUGCCACGACAGUGUGCUUUCCUUGCUUGGAAGUCUUGGAAGCUUCUUACCUCCUCUAAGAAGAUUUUCCAGGCAAAACCCAGAUCUGCUUUAGUGACUUCAGAAGAAAAAGAUCUGAGGGAGGAUGAGAAGCCGAUAGCCAAUGGUUAUGAGGAUGAGGGUCGCUAUCCAAAGGAUUGA